AACUACUCUUCUCCCCUUCUCUUCAUCUCGUUGCCGAGCAGCGCUGAGCUGAUCUCUUCAUCUUCCCCCAACCGGCCGCGACCCUUCUUCUCCGUCACGAUUAAAGCAGUGGCCAAGGGAAAUCGGGCACAUCUCUUUCUCGAUUUCCUUCUCUUCUUCCUCUCUUGCGCGGAAGACUCGACGCCGAUGGAAGCUUUCUCCUGCAGCGAUCAUUUUCAUCGCAUAGUUUGAGGAGGACGUCACUGGAUCUCGAUGGUAUCGGCAGAGUCCUAGCUAUCUUCGUCUAAUUGAUCGACUCUUCGGGGGUUCUUGUGCUUGAUCGACGAAGGCUUGGUGGCUAGGGAACAGUGGGAGGGGGGGGCUUGAUUCGCGUCGUUCCCAGCCGAACAAUCCCUUCGUUCCUCCUUCCCGAGCGGUUCACAGAGCCAUCAAUGUCUCCUUUCAAGCGGGAUCAGAUCAUGCGACAAACUCUGGAGGCGACCAAAUAAGUUAAGGCAGUGUCGGGAAUUCUGUGAAUUUAAGGAUCUUGUUGAUUGGUACCCCUUUUUGCGAUGUUCUUUCUGUUUGGACUAGGGGAAUGCAUCGGAAUAGCUCACUAUUGGUUUCCCCUGAUCAGAUCCUGGUCCUCCUCAUUCUUGCGGCUAAUUGAGGUCUCUAUUGAAGGUAUUGGGGAUCUUUUGAGGACUCUGAUUCGAGACGAACGUCUCGACGUCGGAUUGGUUGGAUACGAUCUUAUUUUUGAGACGGGUUGAAGCUGUCAAGAGGUUUCAGUCGCUAGUCCCCCACUAGGUGUCGAGAUAGCUUUCUGGUUUCAGACUUUCAUUGUUUCCUUGUUUUGUUAUGACUAGAGACUUAUGACGUGUAGUUCUUGUACUUCUGGAUUCUAUGUCGUGCUUCGGGUAUGAUGCUCAUGUUUUUUCGCUGCAAAAGUUUUCUAUUAUGUUGUGUUUUCCUUGUUAUAGUGGAGUAGGUUUUUAUCAUUAUAAUUGCGUGGUUGUGUCAGUCGGAGGUUGAAUUAUAUAAACUACGUGGAAUGCUUGUCAUAUUUUAUUGUAUAUGUUUCGACCGUGUUGGCCGUGGGUUGAGGGGCCCUGAGGGCCUUGUAGAUAAGUUUCAGAUUGUCACCCAUACAUGGGAGAUGUUGCUGAAAUUUUCUCUGACAGGGACUCCCUUGGGGCGUAACAAUUUAUUUGGUAUCAGAGCCCAAUUUUGUGAGUCAAUCUGGGUAUUUUUUGGAUUUGUACCGAUUUCCAUUAUUUUAAUGUUUCAGAAUUUUGUUUCGGAUUUGUACGGAUUUCUGUUGAUUUUUUUUUUAUGUUUCUAAAUUCUGAGAUCUUUUUAGACAAGGUUAUAUUGGGGACUUGGCAACGACGGAACAUCUCCAGACGGCAAAUAGGUAUGAUGAUUACUUUUAUAAUUUAGUACUUGUAUUAAUACCUGGGUAAUAAAUUUAAACAGAUAUGAGGCAAAGUACAUGUGUUCCCGUGCCGAGACGUGGUGCAGAAUGUCCACGCAAGAGGACAUUGGAAUCCAUAGCGAUAGAGUCACCAGAGAUGUCUACUAGGGUCGAGCCCGUCAGUCAGGGACAGACUCCACAUGGUACUGCUAGCGCAUCGGGCUCUCAGACUCCGAUGGUUUCAGAGGUUGAAGUUGUCAGGAGGUUCUAGUCGCUAGUCCCCCACUAGGUGUCGAGAUGACUUUCUGGUUUCGGACUUUCGUUGCUUCCUUGUUUCGUUAUGACUAGAGACUUAUGAUGUGUAGUUCUUGUACUUAUGGAUUCUAUGUCGUGCUUUGGGUAUGAUGCUCAUGUUUUUACGCUGCGAAGGUUUUGCGUUGUGUUGUGUUUUCCUCGUUAUAGUGG
This is a long non-coding RNA of Zingiber officinale, 1861 nucleotides long. RefSeq lists it as uncharacterized. The record is from RefSeq and is a predicted model, not a curated record. NCBI's taxonomy places the organism in Eukaryota, Viridiplantae, Streptophyta, Magnoliopsida, Zingiberales, Zingiberaceae. The transcript has 4 exons.